This 440-nucleotide ribosomal RNA is filed under the name uncultured bacterium. RNAcentral describes it as "partial 16S ribosomal RNA". It matches the Rfam family "Bacterial small subunit ribosomal RNA", at positions 338 to 795 of the family's 1533-position model. The record is from RNAcentral.
CCUACGGGUGGCUGCAGUGGGGAAUAUUGCACAAUGGGGGAAACCCUGAUGCAGCGACGCCGCGUGAGUGAAGAAGUAUCUCGGUACGUAAAGCUCUAUCAGCAGGGAAGAAAAUGACGGUACCUGACUAAGAAGCCCCGGCUAACUACGUGCCAGCAGCCGCGGUAAUACGUAGGGGGCAAGCGUUAUCCGGAUUUACUGGGUGUAAAGGGAGCGUAGACGGGAGCACAAGUCUGGAGUGAAAUCCCGGGGAUUAACCCCGGAACUGCUUUGGAAACUGUGCGGCUGGAGUGCAGGCGGGGUAGGCGGAAUGCGUGGUGUAGCGGUGAAAUGCGUAGAUAGUAGGAGGAACACCGGUGGCGAAGGCGGCUUACUGGACUGUAACUGACGUUGAGGCUCGAAAGCGUGGGGAGCAAACAGGAUUAGAUACCCUAGUAGUC